Long non-coding RNA from Mya arenaria, 415 nucleotides. RefSeq lists it as uncharacterized. The record is from RefSeq and is a predicted model, not a curated record. Lineage: Eukaryota; Metazoa; Mollusca; Bivalvia; Myida; Myidae. The transcript has 3 exons.
AGAACCAAGACCAACAACACCAACAACGCCAACAACGACUACUGUUGCUACGGUCACAGAGGAUCCAAAGACAUCGUGCGGAAAUAGUUACGCCAGUUGCGAGUUUUUCCCACUUGAUGACUGUAAAGACCCAGAUAAAGCGGAGAACAUGUGGACGGACUGUCGGGCAUAUUGCUCACUGUGUCAAGAGCCAAAGCCGACGAAGUGUGAGGAUACAAUGGUAGGGUGCGCUGAUUUUGCCUCAUUCGUCUGUGCUUCUGAAGACAUGAAGGACCAGUGUCAAAAAACUUGCGGAUUGUGCCCCAAAUAAAUGUUCAAAAUAAAAAUAUGUAAUCAAAAUCUAAAAAUUCUAUUUAUUAUAGUAUUUGCUUAGAGUGCAGUUUUAGAUGUUUAUUAAAUAAACCUUUGCAAUCUA